Molecule: ribosomal RNA, 254 nt
Filed under: uncultured bacterium
Lineage: Bacteria
Description: partial 16S ribosomal RNA
Rfam family: Bacterial small subunit ribosomal RNA
Source: RNAcentral
UACGUAGGGUGCGAGCGUUGUCCGGAAUUAUUGGGCGUAAAGGGCUCGUAGGCGGUGUGUCGCGUCGGCCGUGAAAACCUGGGGCUUAACUCUGGGCGUGCGGUCGAUACGGGCAUCACUGGAGUUCGGCAGGGGAGACUGGAAUUCCUGGUGUAGCGGUGAAAUGCGCAGAUAUCAGGAGGAACACCGGUGGCGAAGGCGGGUCUCUGGGCCGAUACUGACGCUGAGGAGCGAAAGCAUGGGUAGCGAACAGG